This 460-nucleotide ribosomal RNA is filed under the name uncultured bacterium. RNAcentral's name for it is "partial 16S ribosomal RNA". It matches the Rfam family "Bacterial small subunit ribosomal RNA", at positions 338 to 795 of the family's 1533-position model. The record is from RNAcentral.
CCUACGGGUGGCAGCAGUGAGGAAUAUUGGUCAAUGGACGCAAGUCUGAACCAGCCAAGCCGCGUGCAGGAAGACGGCUCUAUGAGUUGUAAACUGCUUUUGUACGAGGGUAAACGCAGGUACGCGUACCUGUCUGAAAGUAUCGUACGAAUAAGCAUCGGCUAACUCCGUGCCAGCAGCCGCGGUAAGACGGAGGAUUCAAGCGUUAUCCGGAUUUAUUGGGUUUAAAGGGUGCGUAGGCGGGCGGUUAAGUCAGAGGUGAAAGCCCGAGGCUCAACUUUGGAAUUGCCUUUGACACUGGUCGGCUAGAGAGGAGUUGCGGUAGGCGGAAUGUAUGGUGUAGCGGUGAAAUGCUUAGAUAUCAUACAGAACACCGAUUGCGAAGGCAGCUUACCAAGCUACUUCUGACGCUGAGGCACGAAAGCGUGGGGAUCAAACAGGAUUAGAUACCCCAGUAGUC